This 233-nucleotide ribosomal RNA is filed under the name uncultured bacterium. Its description in RNAcentral is "partial 16S ribosomal RNA". It matches the Rfam family "Bacterial small subunit ribosomal RNA", at positions 794 to 1034 of the family's 1533-position model. The record is from RNAcentral.
UCCACGCCGUAAACGAUGGAUACUCGUUCUUGGCAAUACACAGUCAGGGACUGAGCGAAAGCAUUAAGUAUCCCACCUGGGGAGUACGUUCGCAAGAAUGAAACUCAAAGGAAUUGACGGGGGCCCGCACAAGCGGAGGAACAUGUGGUUUAAUUCGAUGAUACGCGAGGAACCUUACCUGGGCUUAAAUGUCAGGCAUUUUCGGAUGUAGUCUGUCGAAAGACAGCUUAAAC